GUGAUCGGAAAUCGAUUUUGAACAUUAUUGUUUAUUCGUUAAAAUAAAAAAGACCACGUGUUUAUUUUUAUUUUACAUUAUCUUAACGAUCUGAAAAUGACAAUAUCGUAUCUCUUAGAUAUCACAAACUAAUCUUCAACUGUGAAAUCUUAUUCUCGUGUUUAGCAAAUGUUUUUUUUUAUAUAUAUGAAACUAAUCAAAUUGAAUCCAAGCAUAUGCAUCGUAGGCAGGGGCGGAUCGGGGGUCGGGGGCUGAAGCCCCCUUCCAAAUUUUGAGUUAUAUAUAUAAAUAUAACAGAGAAUAUAAUACAUUAUUUAAUAAUAGUACAUUUAUGUUAAUUGGUUAAUUUUUUUUUUGUUAAAUUGUUAUACCCAAAAAAAGGAUGCUAGAGUGCAUUGCUUAACAUUUUAUAGUGAUUUGUUUUAUUAGUUUCUUAGUUAAUUUUCAAUAUUGAAUUUAGUUGAUCUUCAAGUUAAAGUAAAAUUAUGAACUAUUAAUAAUGAAAAUUAGUUUAUUUUUUAGGAGAUGAAACAUUUUUUUAAAGGAAUGCAUAGAGGUAGGUCUUUAUAUGCUUUUAAUGUAAUUGUUGUUGAAUUAAUAAAAUGCGAACAAUUAUAAUAAAUGAAUGAGUUAUACUCCUAAUUAGUCCAUUAAAAUUCUAUUUGGACAUAAAAAAUAAACUGUACAGAAUGCUCAAAACCUUUUGACUCGGGAGCUCUCGCCCCCGAACCCUUGUACAAAUACUUUUAAACGUUAUACUUCAACAAAUUCAACCCCCUAAUAUCAAUUGUUGGAUCCGCC
Molecule: long non-coding RNA, 801 nt
Filed under: Salvia miltiorrhiza (redroot sage)
Lineage: Eukaryota; Viridiplantae; Streptophyta; Magnoliopsida; Lamiales; Lamiaceae
Description: long non-coding RNA (SMIL_LNC002141)
Source: RNAcentral